This 253-nucleotide ribosomal RNA is filed under the name uncultured bacterium. RNAcentral's name for it is "partial 16S ribosomal RNA". It matches the Rfam family "Bacterial small subunit ribosomal RNA", at positions 524 to 776 of the family's 1533-position model. The record is from RNAcentral.
UACGAAGGGGGCUAGCGUUGCUCGGAACCACUGGGCGUAAAGGGUGCGUAGGCGGGUCUUUAAGUCAGGGGGGAAAUCCUGGAGCUCAACUCCAGAACUGCCUUUGAUACUGAGGAUCUUGAGUUCGGGAGAGGUGAGUGGAACUGCGAGUGUAGAGGUGAAAUUCGUAGAUAUUAGGAAGAACACCAGUGGCGAAGGCGGCUCACUGGCCCGGUACUGACGCUGAGGCGCGAAAGCGUGGGGAGCAAACAGG